Molecule: non-coding RNA, 46 nt
Organism: Allomyces macrogynus ATCC 38327
Lineage: Eukaryota; Fungi; Blastocladiomycota; Blastocladiomycetes; Blastocladiales; Blastocladiaceae
Source: Rfam
GCAUCGGCUUUUCUCAAAGCCACAAGUGUACUCGUUGCCUUGAUUG